RNAcentral lists this long non-coding RNA (400 nucleotides) under Aquila chrysaetos chrysaetos. RNAcentral's name for it is "lncRNA (ENSACCG00020013388.1)". The record is from RNAcentral. Lineage: Eukaryota; Metazoa; Chordata; Aves; Accipitriformes; Accipitridae.
UAAUUGAGAGGUAUCGUAAAAAGUACCAGAACAGUGGAAAGGAGCAUCAAACAUGGACCCCGGAUUGGAGAAGACUCCCGAGAGAGGUGAAGCCAAAGAAAAAGACCAAAAAAGCUUUCUUCUGCAGAGUUGUGAACCAGAUCCUUCAACAGCAGUUGGAGCUGACUUGACCACCUGCCUUCUUGGUGACAAAAAUUCAGGUAGAAUUCCACAUCUCUCCCGCACCCUCGGCUGUGGACCACAGUAUCCUAGAUACCAGCAGUGCUUGGCAAAAAAAAAAAACACCUACAGCAUGGAUUGUGUUCAGCUUUUGAAGGCCAGCUAUAUGCAUAUGUAUGUAGCAAUCACAUGUUUGCAUUUAAGCCCAAGUACUGCAAGAACAUGUAUUUGGAAAGAUUAG